Molecule: ribosomal RNA, 513 nt
Filed under: Montrouzierella sp. JGZ-89
Lineage: Eukaryota; Metazoa; Arthropoda; Insecta; Coleoptera; Chrysomelidae
Description: partial 12S ribosomal RNA
Source: RNAcentral
ACAUAUUUUAGAGCCUAAUUCACUUUAAUUAAAAAUUAAAAUUACAUUCAAAUCCAAAUUCAAAAUCCUAAUGCUAAAAUUUCUCCUGAAAUAAAUUUAUUGUAAUCCAUUUCUUCUCAAAUAAGCUGCACCUUGAUCUGAUUUAUAAUAUAAUAAAAUAUUAUAAUUAUAUAUUUCUAAAAAUAAUUAACAACGACGAUAUACAAGCAAAAUUUAAGUUUUAUUAAUCGUGGAUUAUCGAUUAUAGAACAGAUUCCCCUGAUUGGAAUAAAAAACCGCCAAAUUUUUUGACUUUAAAGAACAUAACUAAUAUUCAUCAAGUCUUAUUAUAUCUACAUCUAGAAUAGUGGGGUAUCUAAUCCCAGUUUAAAAACCUAGAUUUCUCAACUUCAUAAACAAAAUAUUAGUUUAAUAGAAAAUAAGAUUUCACCCAAUAUUAACUAAAACAAAAAUUUAAUUUUUAUUAAUUAAGUAUAACUGUAUCAAAAUAGUAGUAUUAUUUGUUUAACCGCA